CGCGAAGUACGGCAGCAGGUGUGUCGGUGGUGUCUGUCCGCGUUCGCCGCUGUGUACACGGCACAAGCCCACACGUAUACACGAGUGCGGGCAUUCCGACACACGCACACACAGAGCGAGGCGCUUACGCACGAGUGCACCGUGUGCACGACAAGAAGCAUAGACCCCAACCCCCACCGCGCAACCACCACAGGUCCAGUCACUCACAAGCACAUACACAACGCACCCCUUCAAGACAGCAGGGAGUUACAUAACGGCGAGAGCAGCCGCAUCAGCCGCGGCACACGUCUUGCCAUCCACGAAAAAGGACAGGGCUGCAGCCUGGAAUACGUUGUUCUGCUCUGUGGUGCUUUCAUUAUCCUUUCAUAGAGGCGGCCAACGGAGGAAAGCAGCACACCGUCACGGCGAAGGAGCAGUGGGACCGGCAAAGGGGUUCCCAGCCCCCCCCCCUCCCGCAUCCCCAGCACUCUACAUACAAGGAGGACACGCUGCAUCAGUGGCUGCUGUUGCUGCUCUGUGUAUGUGUGUGUAUUUUACUCGUCUGAGGCGCAUGAAGGGAAGAGAAGGGAGAAGCCCUAGGCACAAGGCAGCCCUGCACACUGGCACAGACAAAGUCGCGUACAGAAAUGCCUCGUUCCGGUAGCCCAGCGUGGCAUUCCCGCUCGGCGGAGCAGACGGCGCGCCUUCUGCUCUCCAACGCCUUUCGGUAUGAUACGUGGGAGUGCGCGGCGGCCCGGAAGCAGGUUCAAUUCCAUGGCGGAGCGGUGCACACGCUGCGUCUCCGCUUUCGCGAGCUGACUAAGCAGCGGAUUGCGGCGAGCGAUAUCGAGGCCGUUAAUCUCGCUCUCUUCGACCCUGCACGCAAGAUGUUUCUGGGCGCGACGUACCAGCUGGAGGCGCGUGAUAUGACUCGGCCGCUAGCCGUGCAAGUGGCGCCGGCCCAGCUCCUUGUGUUGGAGACUGUGGUGCAUGACACUCGCCCGUCGGCACCGCUGGAAGAGUACCGAGUUACCAGCUGGGGCUUCUGCCCAGUGGAGGAGAUGAUGAGCGGCACGAUCUCGGUCAGGCUGCGGCCUGGCAGUGCGCACCUCCUGCUCGUGGAGAAGAGCUCGUGGCCCGCGGUCAGCCUGCCGACGGCUCCGAGCGACGUCGCGCUAACAUGCGAUGUGGCUGUGGACCAGGACGCAGCACUCGCGCAGCUGAUGGGGGAGCUGGUGCCGCCUGGCAUCUUCGUCUCCGAGGACUUCACACGCGCCACACCAAUGCCUGGCACCUCACUUUUCCGACUGUGCGUGAGGAGCAUUGAGCUGUCUGGCUCGACGGAGGAGUCAGCGUGGAACUUGGCCGACCCGGACGCGGACUGGUCCGUCGCAGCGGUGGCCCAUAACGGCUUUCAGCAGCUUGGCAAGGGCAGCGAGGUGUCGCUGGUCUUAGAGGCGCCGAGCGACGGCGGUGGGCACAGCUCCUCAUCGACCACCUCUUCCUCAUCUACCCGGCGUCCGCCUGCAGCGCCGGCCGCCAACACGGUCCUACUGCGCUCUGACCUGCCUCUCGAAAUUGACCGGCUGCCCGUGCACUCCGCCACGUCGUUGGUGCUGGCCAUCCGCCGCCGCGCGCCAGGCUCACGCGCCUUUGCCGUUCUGGGCUUCUGCGUGCUACCACUUUGCAUGAUGCCGAUGCAGGACCGCGACAUCCGAGUCGAGAACCUUCCAGCCUUGCGGGGUCCCUUCUCCUGCGAAGACGCGCGGCUGCUGAUGGUGGACUCUACAAGCCCGUAUGGGCGUCUGCCGAUCGCGGUAACCCUCACCGUGGAGUACCACGACACCGGCAGGCCGGCAAGGGCGCUGCCCGCAGGCCCCGUCGCCGCCCCAGCGGCGGUAGCAGCACAGCAGAAGGAGGAAAUCACGAAGGAUGAGGUAAGCUCUUCCUCGCUAACUUCCUCCGCCUCCUCCGUCAUCUCCGGAGCGAGGCCGGCGCAGGUUCUUUCUACCGCCGACGUCCCUGGCAGUCGCGUGGCGGUGGGGCCACCCAGCUAUACAGCCUUGCCGACACCCGCCGACGGCGGAGACAGCGCAGGCAUCUUCAAGCUACUCUGCACCAUCAUGGAGGAGCUGCGCAAGGUGCGCGAGGCACAGGACAUGAUUCUCCAACAGACUAGCGGCGAUGGCAGCGGCUUGGCUGCCCUCAGUCCUGCCCUGCAGGAGCGCCUCAACAAGGGCCUGGCGGACGGCGGCGUCGACUUGAUCGACCUCGCGCCGCGGCCCCUCGCAGUCUCGUGGAGGGCGCGCAAGCUCAUGCAAGAUGGCGUGCAGCCCAUUCUUCACCCCCUACACGGGACUCUGCUGGACGACACGGCGCCGGUCGUUGACGGGCUCACGUCGUCUCUCUACGGCUUCCGGCUGGAGGGCAUAACCAUGGACAACGCGCUGCACAUGCCGGUGGACAUCUGUCUGCUCUUCUCGUUCGGUCCUCUGCCGUAUCAGCAGGUGGGUCCCCUGCACGUCACCUCCGUGGAGCGGACGCCCACCAACGAGAGUUACAAGGUGUACGACGAUCGCCGCGAGGCCGGCUUUGUAUGGUGCGAACCGACAGCGGCACUGCAGAGCAGUGCUAUGCGCAAGUACAAGUCCUUGAGCAACGCUGUUGUCUACGUGCACCUGUACGACGCGCUGAGUAUGUUCUACCUCGCCACGGCAAGUCUGCCGCUGUCCACCUUCCGCCGGCCUAUCUCGGCCACGUGUGCGAUGAUUCCCAUGGAUGUGGUGCUGCAGCGGGACUUGAGCAUGACGGAGCAGGUGGUGCCACCGAAGGUGUUUCCCGUGAUGCGGCAUGCGGGACAACUGCACCUCACCAUCUUCUGUGUAGGCAUCGGGGCCGCCGCUGGUGAUAGGAAGAGCUGUGCGGCUGCGCUCGCUACCGUGCACCCGCCGGAGAACGUGCAGAGUCGCGUCAUUACCGCGAAGAAGCUGCGGCACGCCGACCGGCUGAGCCCGGCAGGAUCGAUCACGUUGCCCUCCGGUAUCAAUGACGCCGCAGCGGCGGACGGCGGCGCCUCGGCCUCGCCCACAGCUGCCGCUCCGCCGACCUCAGAAUCGAAAAGGGGCCGCGACGGCGGCGCGGGCGGAGUAGGCACGCUGCACUGGCAACGCGCGCAGUACUUCAAGACCCAGCUGCGGGAGCACCAGCAAAGCGUGGGCACGGCGCCGCAGCUGCCGGGGGUGCCCGACGCACACGUGCAGGCAGCGCAGGAGGCGGCCGAGUUGGAGUACCGCCUGCGCCAGCUCGAGCUCGAGCGCGCCGCCGUCAAGUCGCGGCGCAUUGCCGAGGCGUUGCUGAGCCGCCUCACUGUGGAGCACGAGGUGCUCGUCAUCUCGUGGCGCCCCGAGGUGGUGCGGACGUCCUUCGCGAACCCCUUCUAUUGCGCCAUGGAGUACUUUGUGGAGGUGGACCCGAGGGACACCGACGUCUGCACCGUCAUAGGCGCGGCCAACUUUGUGUUGGGGCCGCGCGAGAAGACGGAGCUGUCGCUGGCGAUACGGCUCUCCAUGACGCAAGCCACCGGCGGUGGCGGCGGGAGUGGCGCGAACCACCACCAGCAGCAGCAGAACAUCACGGUGCGCGUUUACUCUGAGACGCGGGAGCUGGUCUGCUGCAUCCGCGUGCGCGCCACCGUGGUGCCGCCGGUGGUGGACCGGCGCUACGAGAUCUUCGGUGCACCUGGCACGGAGGUGUCCAAGCGUAUCCUCUCCCGCACCUUCUCGGCUGCGAGCUUUCCCGUCACGACCGGCAGCGCCGCCCUGCUGCAGCGCAUGCGUGAGCUCUGUGCCUUUGUCGCCACGUCGGGCGAGAAGACGUCCGUAAGCACGAAUGUGGUGCUGGACCCCAUCACGCAGGCCUACAUCACCGCGUGGGAGGAGGCAACUGUGACGACAGAGAUACCGAAGGAAGUCGGCCGCCAGCGUAUCGAGUACGUGACGCUCUUCUACGACGCCGCUAUGAGUCGCUUGUACGAAACGUGGGAACUGUGCAUCUUCGCCUGUGAGAGCUUCAUGACGCGGGACAUCUAUUGGGGUCAGACAACGGCGCUGGGCCUGCCUGCGGAGGGGACGCGCGACAUGUACUGCAGCGACACCGCCGUCACAGUGGAGCGGCGCGGGGCGUCGUACGUGCUGCGCCUGCACCCCCGCGACGUCGGCACGCAGCGCAUGCUUCUUCACACCCUGAAGGACGAUACGCUCAAGAAGACGCUGGUGACUGUGCCCACUGUGCACCCCACGCCGACGUACUCACAGGUGAUCGAGCUCUCCCUCGCAGAAGUGAAGGGCCCUGUGCUGCGCCGCCUCACAUUUGUAAAUCGCGGAGACCGCGAGGAGGUUUUCCAGGUGCAUCACAACUACAAGUUCAACCUCCGCGUGAACCCGUCGAAGUUCACGCUGGCCCCAAGCGACACGCAGUUCAUCCGUCUUCAGUUCGACCUCCUGACGCUGCCGCCUGGUCAGCAGGAGGGACGGUGGCCGGUGUGGAUCUUUAUCAACAACUCCGAGGACAAGACAGUGGAGUCGUACCAUCUGCAGAUCGUGCUCCGUGCGCACCCAAUCGUGAGCGUCGAGCCAUAGGUGUGUGCGGCGAAAAAGAAGAGGCGGGAAGGCCGAUGUUACGGCUCGGCGUUGUGUGCGCAUCCUGGCCUCCCUCCCACCCGUUCUCUUUUCCUCCGACGUGUUUUUGUGCCUGUGUGCUUCUCUCACCGGCCAUAGAUGGCGCAGCUCUAUCCCUGCCGCCUUUUCUCGUUUCUUGUGACCAUCAGGAGCCCCUGAAGAUGACGGCCAUCCUAGCGCGUGGCGUCACAGGGUCCCGUGCUUGCUCCGUGGAGACUCGAAGCAGUCUGCCGCCCGGCCUCGGGCACGGCCGGCGGAGUCCCAGUGUCCGGCGUCCAGCUCUGGGCUGGCGCCGUGCCGGAGGGACAUGCGGUCAUAACCACUUUUGCACCGGCUCACUACGAAUCCAGCCGGUGAUUCAACAAGGAUGCGCAUCCGCCUACUGCUUUUCUGCGUCUGCUGCGUUGCGGUGAUGCUGAGCGUAAUCCUGGACCUCGGCUACGCUGCAUGCAGUGGUUUUGCACUGGGCUGAAGGAUGUCAGGCUGUGUUGACUCGCCCAGUUCGUCGACGUAGCAGCAGUGAGCAGCAGAGGUUGACGAGCUGUGGCUGUGCUUGCGUGUCACGCUGCUGACCUGUUCAUACUAGAAUUACAUCUAUCGUGCCAACGUGUCCGUUUUUCUGCCAUAGAACACGAAGUAAGCUGCGCUAUGCCCCUCCCACUCCUUCCCCAGGCCUGCCACAGGGCCCCUCCCCCUCGCAUCGCGCGGUGCGGAGCAGCCGUAGACACGCGCGCCACAGCAACGCGCCGGCCCGGUCAUCUCAGCACGGCCCCCGCCUCAAAGGCAACGCACCCGCCCGCAUCCCAGGUCGCCUCGCAGCCGCCCCAGCCAUGCUGGUUGCCACGUGGUGCAUAUCCCUCGCGGGGCGCCUGAGCCGCCCCGCACCACUAAGCAGCAAGGGCCGGGUGGGAUACGUCCCAGCCACGUCGGCACACUCUGCCCAUCAUAUGGAUGGCACACGCGUGUGCAGUGCUGCAGGUCGCUCCAGUGCAACGCCGUCCACCGUCGGACCGCCGACGUGAGUGGCGCUGAGUCUCUCCGACUCCCCAACGUCGCAGGCGCUUGGCCCUCUCACCACGAGAAGGGGCUGUGCAUUGGCCGGAAUAGGGGAGGGGAGGGGCUGCCCGGCUUCGCCACACACCGAGUGGGGAGAGGGGGUGGGUGCACAGAGCCCUGCGACAUGGCGCACGGAGGCGUGU
This 5854-nucleotide unclassified non-coding RNA is filed under the name Leishmania donovani. RNAcentral's name for it is "gene:LdHU3.25.2550(CDS-product:hypothetical_prote in_conserved)". The record is from RNAcentral. Lineage: Eukaryota; Euglenozoa; Kinetoplastea; Trypanosomatida; Trypanosomatidae.